RNAcentral lists this non-coding RNA (24 nucleotides) under Arabidopsis thaliana (thale cress). Lineage: Eukaryota; Viridiplantae; Streptophyta; Magnoliopsida; Brassicales; Brassicaceae. The record is from RNAcentral.
AUUGUGAAAAUGUGCAAUUUGGCC